Prunus avium (sweet cherry) is the source of this 802-nucleotide non-coding RNA. The record is from RefSeq and is a predicted model, not a curated record. NCBI's taxonomy places the organism in Eukaryota, Viridiplantae, Streptophyta, Magnoliopsida, Rosales, Rosaceae.
ACAUCUCUCUCAGCGUCUCUCACCCAUUUUCCAUACCCAAAAAAUGUCUUCGCCAAGCAAACGCCGUGAGAUGGAUUUGAUGAAACUGAUGAUGAGUGAUUACAAGGUGGAGAUGAUCAAUGACGGCAUGCAAGAGUUUUAUGUGGAUUUCAAUGGACCCAAAGAGAGUCCGUAUCAGGGAGGUGUCUGGAGGAUAAGGGUGGAGCUACCAGAUGCUUAUCCUUACAAAUCUCCAUCUGUUGGCUUUGUCAACAAAAUUUACCACCCAAAUGUUGAUGAAAUGUCUGGAUCAGUUUGUUUAGAUGUUAUCAACCAAACUUGGAGCCCCAUGUUUGACCUGGUUAAUGUGUUUGAAGUGUUUCUGCCCCAACUUCUUUUAUAUCCCAACCCAUCGGAUCCAUUGAAUGGAGAGGCAGCUGCUUUAAUGAUGCGUGAUCGUUCUGCUUAUGAACAAAGAGUAAAAGAGUAUUGUGAGAAGUAUGCAAAGCCAGAAGACAUAGGUGGUGCUCCAGAGGAGAAAUCAAGUGAUGAUGAGGAUCUGAGUGAAGAUGAAUAUGACUCCAGUGAUGACGCAGUUGCAGGCCAAGCUGAUCCAUAGGUUCAUAAACCCUGCUCCAGUUAAUUCUCUGUUGUACCUGUACAUUAUAUUGUACUGAUGCUUGGAAAAUUAAACCCAAAAAAAAAAAAAACUAAGGGCUUAUGGAAAAAUUCCUGCCCUUGUGAUUGUUGUCCAUGGCGGUUGUGUAAAUUAAUCAACUAUGAUUUAUUGUUAUCAAUAUUCAUCUACUGUUUUGGACUGAAA